GACGAACGCUGGCGGCGCGCCUAACACAUGCAAGUCGAACGAGCGAGAGAGAGCUUGCUUUCUCGAGCGAGUGGCGAACGGGUGAGUAACGCGUGAGGAACCUGCCUCAAAGAGGGGGACAACAGUUGGAAACGACUGCUAAUACCGCAUAAGCCCACGGGUCGGCAUCGACCAGAGGGAAAAGGAGCAAUCCGCUUUGAGAUGGCCUCGCGUCCGAUUAGCUAGUUGGUGAGGUAAUGGCCCACCAAGGCGACGAUCGGUAGCCGGACUGAGAGGUUGAACGGCCACAUUGGGACUGAGACACGGCCCAGACUCCUACGGGAGGCAGCAGUGGGGAAUAUUGCACAAUGGGGGAAACCCUGAUGCAGCGACGCCGCGUGGAGGAAGAAGGUCUUCGGAUUGUAAACUCCUGUUGUUGGGGAAGAUAAUGACGGUACCCAACAAGGAAGUGACGGCUAACUACGUG
This 466-nucleotide ribosomal RNA is filed under the name uncultured bacterium. RNAcentral's name for it is "partial 16S ribosomal RNA". It matches the Rfam family "Bacterial small subunit ribosomal RNA", at positions 28 to 507 of the family's 1533-position model. The record is from RNAcentral.